This 629-nucleotide ribosomal RNA is filed under the name uncultured archaeon. Its description in RNAcentral is "bacterial SSU rRNA". It matches the Rfam family "Archaeal small subunit ribosomal RNA", at positions 147 to 776 of the family's 1478-position model. The record is from RNAcentral.
UAAUACUGGAUAGGCAAUUAUUCCUGUAAUGGUUUUUUGUUUAAAUGUUUUUUCGCCUAAGGAUGGGUCUGCGGCCGAUUAGGUAGUUGGUUAGGUAAUGGCUUACCAAGCCUUUGAUCGGUACGGGUUGUGAGAGCAAGAGCCCGGAGAUGGAACCUGAGACAAGGUUCCAGGCCCUACGGGGUGCAGCAGGCGCGAAACCUCCGCAAUGUGAGAAAUCGCGACGGGGGGAUCCCAAGUGCCAUUCUUAACGGGAUGGCUUUUCUUUAGUGUAAAAAGCUUUUGGAAUAAGAGCUGGGCAAGACCGGUGCCAGCCGCCGCGGUAACACCGGCAGCUCUAGUGGUAGCAAUUUUUAUUGGGCCUAAAGCGUCCGUAGCCGGUUUAAUAAGUCUCUGGUGAAAUCCUGUAGCUUAACUGUGGGAAUUGCUGGAGAUACUAUUAGACUUGAGACCGGGAGAGGUUAGAGGUACUCCCAGGGUAGAGGUGAAAUUCUGUAAUCCUGGGAGGACCGCCUGUUGCGAAGGCGUCUAACUGGAACGGUUCUGACGGUGAGGGACGAAAGUUAGGGGCGCGAACCGGAUUAGAUACCCGGGUAGUCCCAACUGUAAACGAUGCGGACUUGGUGUUG